AAAUCUUUCUUCAUUGCUCAUGUCGUGGAGUAACAGAAGAAAAAGGAUAGAAAUACAAGGUAACACCUGGCACAGUAUGGCACCAAUCGAUGUAUGAUGGAACUAGCUGGUGGAUACCUGCUAGCAAACCAAGAACUAUUACAGAAUAUCACGAGUUGUAACCAUUACUUCAGGAAGUUGGUUCAUGCAAAGUGCUAAUAAAUCCCCGGGAAUUCACCACCUGGAUUAAUAAUCAUUAGAAGCAGAUAAACUGCUAACUAUAACUGGCGUUUAUCACCUAUGUGAUCUAUUUCACAGCUCUAUUUUAAUUAUCAGCUAGGCUCCAAAGUUCAGAUCCUUGUCUGGAUUAUUAAUAAUAUGUGUCUGGAGAACGGGAGAUUAUUAUCGUACAAGAAUGUUACCUUUGAAUUUCUCGUGCGCGCAUGGUCGCAUAAUCACUGAGAAUCAACAAUAACUUCUGAUAUCAACCUUGACCAUGAAACGCCAUUACAUCGGCAAUUGGGUUAACAAACUGCAUAUUUAUAUCCAGACAUUUUAAACUUGGAUUUAUAAAGUUCAAUCACAUCUACUACACGUAUGAUCGACAUUCAGAGUUUUUAGAUACCCUUAUUACUUGAAGAACUUGAUCACAAACGAGCGGAGAGACUUAGCAAGAUGAUCUCGAAGACGGACAGAGUUGAGGCGGCCA
Long non-coding RNA from Cotesia glomerata, 688 nucleotides. RefSeq lists it as uncharacterized. The transcript has 4 exons. The record is from RefSeq and is a predicted model, not a curated record. NCBI's taxonomy places the organism in Eukaryota, Metazoa, Arthropoda, Insecta, Hymenoptera, Braconidae.